Non-coding RNA from Acanthosepion pharaonis, 111 nucleotides. The record is from the annotation of a GenBank genome assembly. Lineage: Eukaryota; Metazoa; Mollusca; Cephalopoda; Sepiida; Sepiidae.
AUGACCACAUCACAUUGAAACACUGGUUCACAUAUGAUCACUGAAGUUAAGCAAUGUCGGACCUGAUGAGUACCUAGAUGGGUGACUGCUUGGAAAUACUAGGUGCUGUAA